CUGAAUUUGGCUUUAAGGCAAAGUGGCCAAUGAGUUUGGUGUAUGGGCGAAGGGCAUCUCGCAAUUAUAGGAUUGCUUGUGACCGAGUAAGAGUCGCUACUGACUUAGGAUUGGAAAAAACAGGUUCAGGUUUUCGCGAAUGAGAGGCUUGCAUUUUACAAUACAUGUUUGCUUGGGACGAACCAUGGCAGCCAUUGAAUUGGAAUUUGGAAAUCAUUUGUCAAUGAGUUUAGUGCAUGCGCGGGAGCGGCGUCUUGCAGUUACGGAAUUUGUUUAGUGGUCAGUUGCUCAUAUGUUUGGGCAAGCAGAGAAAUGCAUCUCCCAAUAGACCCAAUCCAUGAUUGCUUGGGAUUGAGCACGAACAUUGCAAAUGCAAGAGGUGCAUCUCGCAAUACAUGAUUGCUUGAGACCGAGCGCACGCGCUUACUGCAUUUGGAUUGGACUGACAAGGGCCAAUGUUUUGGCGAUUCAGAACAGUAUACCUUCCUUGCCAUACGCGAAUCACCCAAUUCUUGGGCAAUAUAUGUUUUUCGAGUGUGUAUGAAGUUACUGAUCUUGUGUUUGAGCUCGUUCGCUGGUUUUCGUUUGCAUUUCUUGGGUUCUUUUUUCUUUUUCUUGGUUGGUGGGGGUCAACUUUCCCAGGGCUAUCUAAAGCUCUUUGUGUUCGACUCUAGCAGUUGUGCCGGGACUGUUGCCCUUUUCUGGUCCUUCCGGGGGUGCUUUGGGGAUUUACUUCUCUAUUCAUCUUUUCUCUCGCUAUUCGCUAAACUUUGUUCCGUUAGCAGCUUCUGAGCGUCUUAAGAAGCGAGUCAUUGGGUGGAAGUUUCUCCCGGGGACCAGACCUGUGGCAUCAGUUCCGGGUUAUUCUCUGCGUUCAUUGUCGCUUGACCAUGCUAGUCCACCUAUCGCUUUUCACUUGCAUUUUUUUUCAUACUGUCCAUUGCCGGUUUGUUUGCUUAAUCGAUUAUAGUUUGGUUUGUGUGUGUGGCACAUGCGAAUCGGCGGGGUUGUAGGGUAUUUGAGCAGGGGGGUUUGGUAUAUGAGAAUGGCGGCUUGGGUAUAUGAGAAUGGGAGUUUGGGUAUAUGAGAAUGAGGGUUUGGUAUAUGAGAAUGGGAGUUUAGGUAUAUGAGAAUGGGGUUUGGUAUAUGAGAAUGGGGGUUUGGGUAUAUGAGAAUGGGGGUUUGGGUAUAUGGGGGGAAAUGCAGUGUUGGGAGCGAGUAGUAACUGAACUGCGGAGGAAUUCAUUUCCGUGCUUCAUUUGGAAACAAUGGACCUUCCUUUUCCCCAAUGCUUAAUCAGUGAUCCGUGGCGGAAUGGCCAUUUGGAUAUUUUACUAUUCAAAUUGGCCAAACACGCCGCGGAAGCUGAUUAACUAAUGGAAUUUGAGUAAUU
This is a non-coding RNA of Paramuricea clavata, 1393 nucleotides long. NCBI's taxonomy places the organism in Eukaryota, Metazoa, Cnidaria, Anthozoa, Malacalcyonacea, Plexauridae. The record is from the annotation of a GenBank genome assembly.